This 498-nucleotide ribosomal RNA is filed under the name uncultured bacterium. RNAcentral describes it as "bacterial SSU rRNA". It matches the Rfam family "Bacterial small subunit ribosomal RNA", at positions 24 to 518 of the family's 1533-position model. The record is from RNAcentral.
UCAGGAUGAACGCUGGCGGCGUGCCUAAUACAUGCAAGUCGAACGAGGUAGCAAUACCGAGUGGCGAACGGGUGAGUAACACGUAGGUAACCUGCCCUUAAGCUUGGGAUACCCAGAGGAAACUUUGGCUAAUACCGGAUAACAACAGAGAAGGCAUCUUCUUGCUUGAAAGGCCCCUUCAAGGGUCACUUAAGGAUGGACCUGCGGCGCAUUAGCUAGUUGGUGAGAUAACAGCCCACCAAGGCGAGGAUGCGUAGCCGAACUGAGAGGUUGAUCGGCCACAUUGGAACUGAGACACGGUCCAAACUCCUACGGGAGGCAGCAGUAAGGAGUUUUCGGCAAUGGGGGAAACCCUGACCGAGCAACGCCGCGUGAGCGAUGACGGCCCUAAUGGGUUGUAAAGCUCUGUUGUAAGCCAUGAAUGAUAGCUUUAGGAAAUGAAAGCUAUUUGACGACAGCUUACCAGAAAGCCACGGCUAACUACGUGCCAGCCGCUGC